UGCAGGCCCGGCCCGCACAACAGAGGCUGUAUGCGAGAGGAAUGGAAAUGAGCCUCAGGCCCUGCCGAAGGAGCCCCAUCCCCUUCCCCGCGCGGGGCUGAGGAAUGCUGGCCAGCCGGAAAGGAACCCUCGCUGGGAACGCCGCUCUCGCGCCUCUGAAACCCCAUUGAGAAGAACCCUUUGAUGCAAUUAAAGCGCAUUUCAUUGCAGGCCUGGGAGGAGGGAACGACCGGCAAGCUUUUUUCUGUCUCGGACGUGUGUAUGCACCUUUGUGGGCCGGGUUACUUAGAGACCAGGCGGGAACUUGAGCUCCCUCUCUCGCAGACGUUCUGUAACAUCAGAAAAGCGUACCCAUAAACAGAUUGGUUUUCACCAGGGGUGGAACUCAAUUUGGACACGAUCCAGGCUGACCUGCAGGCCGGGGUUCCUACUUUGAAAGGCUCUUUGGUGCGCCUUACACCCACCUUCCCUGCUGUAAAGGUUUAGGCGGAAAAGAAAUUGCGUUUGCAGGAGGAAGUUGUUUCUGAGGUUACUGCUCAGCAUUUUCCAUUUUCUCAGUGGUGGGGUGGGCCGUGUCGCAUAUCCAGAAGUGAUGUCACAGCCAGACCUGCAAAAUGAUGUAACCUGCAAGUGUUGAAGGACGACGAUGGGACAGCUAUUUUGAUACUCGUAUUAUUUUAUAACAUUUCCCUGCUUUUUCCAUUGAGACAACUGUGUGACCUCAGAAAAUCCACAUAGCCUCUCUGAACUUAGUAUUUUUGUGUGUGUGUUAAAAUGAGUAUCACAAAGCCGGAGAACGAAUGUGAUGAAGUUCUGGGUGCUUGUGGAAUUCUUUCUAAGUUGGAGGUGGACACUUUAUCUACCUGCACAGGUGGAAGAUAUGUGGGUCUGGAACUCCGUGUAUGCCUCCUUGAGAACAUGAACCUUUAAACAACAACAACAACAAUAACAACACGAAGACAAAGUCCUGUCUGCUCUCCCAGGCUAGAGUGCAGCGUGCAAUCGUGCAAUCGCAGCCUACAGUAAGGUAGAAUUCCUGGCCUCAAGCUAUCCUCCUGCCCCACCGUGGCCUCCUGAAGGGCUCCGAUUACAGGAGGGAGCCACUGCACCCAGCCAAACCUGUCUUUUAUUCUGUAUCUCCUGUGCCCAGAGCAGUCCCUGGCCCUGAUAAGGGUUCAACAAAUAUGUUGAGUGAAUGAACAAAUACAUUCAGGAGUGUAGGGAUUGAUACUAACUUGUUGGCUGUUUUCUGUUCCUUAUAAAUCUAAAUAAGAAAUAGGGAGAGCAUGGUAGGUAUUUGGGGUCCUCGGCGAGGCGUAAGUUCAGGAGAAGUUUGAAGGAAAGGGUAGGAAAACAUUUUUGAGAGCACAAACAUGCUACAAGUGUUUCCUGAAAUGCCCCAAAGAAGAGUGCAGCACUCAGGUGGAGGAGUCAUUUUUUCCAACUGAGUGGAUGGUUAAUACUGGCAAACAUGAAUCAUGUUUUAUAUUCAUAA
Long non-coding RNA from Homo sapiens (human), 1495 nucleotides. Ensembl annotates it as long intergenic non-protein coding RNA 1852. NCBI's taxonomy places the organism in Eukaryota, Metazoa, Chordata, Mammalia, Primates, Hominidae. The record is from Ensembl.